UUGGACGCUGGCGGCAGGCCUAACACAUGCAAGUCGAGCGGAUGAAGGGAGCUUGCUCCCUGAUUCAGCGGCGGACGGGUGAGUAAUGCCUAGGAAUCUGCCUGGUAGUGGGGGACAACGUUUCGAAAGGAACGCUAAUACCGCAUACGUCCUACGGGAGAAAGCAGGGGACCUUCGGGCCUUGCGCUAUCAGAUGAGCCUAGGUCGGAUUAGCUAGUUGGUGAGGUAAUGGCUCACCAAGGCGACGAUCCGUAACUGGUCUGAGAGGAUGAUCAGUCACACUGGAACUGAGACACGGUCCAGACUCCUAUGGGAGGCAGCAGUGGGGAAUAUUGGACAAUGGGCGAAAGCCUGAUCCAGCCAUGCCGCGUGUGUGAAGAAGGUCUUCGGAUUGUAAAGCACUUUAAGUUGGGAGGAAGGGUUGCUGAUUAAUACUCUGCAAUUUUGACGUUACCGACAGAAUAAGCACCGGCUAACUCUGUGCCAGCCGCCGCCGUAA
RNAcentral lists this ribosomal RNA (499 nucleotides) under uncultured bacterium. RNAcentral describes it as "partial 16S ribosomal RNA". It matches the Rfam family "Bacterial small subunit ribosomal RNA", at positions 30 to 523 of the family's 1533-position model. The record is from RNAcentral.